This 85-nucleotide transfer RNA is filed under the name Felis catus (domestic cat). It matches the Rfam family "tRNA". From Rfam's summary of the family: Transfer RNA (tRNA) molecules are approximately 80 nucleotides in length. Their secondary structure includes four short double-helical elements and three loops (D, anti-codon, and T loops). The record is from Rfam by way of RNAcentral. Lineage: Eukaryota; Metazoa; Chordata; Mammalia; Carnivora; Felidae.
GCCUGGGUGGCUCAGUGGGUUGAGCAUCUGACUUUGGCUCAGGUCACGGUCACAUGGUUUGUGGGUCCGAGCCCCAUGUUGGGCU